RNAcentral lists this ribosomal RNA (406 nucleotides) under uncultured bacterium. RNAcentral's name for it is "partial 16S ribosomal RNA". It matches the Rfam family "Bacterial small subunit ribosomal RNA", at positions 29 to 526 of the family's 1533-position model. The record is from RNAcentral.
AUUGAACGCUGGCGGCAGGCCUAACACAUGCAAGUCGAACGAGUGGCGGACGGGUGAGUAAUGUCUGGGAAAAUGCCUGAUGGAGGGGGAUAACUACUGGAAACGGUAGCUAAUACCGCAUACCAUCGGAUGUGCCCAGAUGGGAUUAGCUAGUAGGUGGGGUAACGGCUCACCUAGGCCACGAUCCCUAGCUGGUCUGGGAGGAUGACCAGCAAGAAUGUAACUGAGACACGGUCGAGACUCCUACGGGAGGCGGCAGGGGGGAGUAUGUCACAAGUGGCGCAAGCCUGAUGCAGCCGUGCCGCGUGUAUGAAGAAGACCUUGGGGUUGUAAAGUACUUGCAGCGGGGAGGCGUUACCCGCAGAAGAAGCACCGGCUGACUCCGUGCCAGCAGCCGAGGUAAUAC